This 738-nucleotide ribosomal RNA is filed under the name uncultured bacterium. Its description in RNAcentral is "bacterial SSU rRNA". It matches the Rfam family "Bacterial small subunit ribosomal RNA", at positions 73 to 825 of the family's 1533-position model. The record is from RNAcentral.
UCGGAAAGAAAUCUGAAAUGACUGAGUGGCGGACGGGUGAGUAACGCGUGAGUAACCUGCCCUUAGGAAAGGGAUAGCGUCUGGAAACGGACGGUAAUACCAUAUAAAGUAUAUUAACGGCAUCGUAGAUAUACCAAAGCUGAGGCGCCUAAGGAUGGACUCGCGUCUGAUUAGAUAGUUGGUGGGGUAACGGCCUACCAAGUCGACGAUCAGUAGCCGGACUGAGAGGUUGAACGGCCACAUUGGGACUGAGACACGGCCCAGACUCCUACGGGAGGCAGCAGUGGGGAAUAUUGCACAAUGGGCGAAAGCCUGAUGCAGCAACGCCGCGUGAAGGAAGACGGUUUUCGGAUUGUAAACUUCUGUUCUUAGUGAAGAAUAAUGACGGUAACUAAGGAGCAAGCCACGGCUAACUACGUGCCAGCAGCCGCGGUAAUACGUAGGUGGCAAGCGUUGUCCGGAAUUACUGGGUGUAAAGGGAGCGUAGGCGGGAAGCCAAGUCAGCUGUGAAAACUACGGGCUUAACCUGUAGACUGCAGUUGAAACUGGCUUUCUUGAGUGAAGUAGAGGUUGGCGGAAUUCCGAGUGUAGCGGUGAAAUGCGUAGAUAUUCGGAGGAACACCGGUGGCGAAGGCGGCCAACUGGGCUUUAACUGACGCUGAGGCUCGAAAGUGUGGGGAGCAAACAGGAUUAGAUACCCUGGUAGUCCACACUGUAAACGAUGAUAACUAGGUGUGG